UACGGGGGGUGCGAACGUUGUUCGGAAUCACUGGGCGUAAAGAGCGCGUAGGCGGCCUUGUAAGCGGGGUGUGAAAUCCCCCGGCUCAACCGGGGAACUGCAUCCCAGACUGCAGGGCUUGAGGGCAGCAGAGGAAACGGGAAUUCCCGGUGUAGCGGUGAAAUGCGUAGAUAUCUGGAGGAACACCGGUGGCGAAGGCGGCAUCCUGGACCGGUAUUGACGCUGAGGCGCGAAAGCUAGGGGAGCAAACGGG
RNAcentral lists this ribosomal RNA (253 nucleotides) under uncultured bacterium. RNAcentral's name for it is "partial 16S ribosomal RNA". It matches the Rfam family "Bacterial small subunit ribosomal RNA", at positions 524 to 776 of the family's 1533-position model. The record is from RNAcentral.